Molecule: long non-coding RNA, 1832 nt
Filed under: Mytilus galloprovincialis (Mediterranean mussel)
Lineage: Eukaryota; Metazoa; Mollusca; Bivalvia; Mytilida; Mytilidae
Source: RNAcentral
GGGGGUGUCACGGUGUAUGACUAUAUAGGUUUUGUAGGUGAGAAACAGUCGCUUCUUUUGCGAAAAGUAUCAAAGAGCGCUAUGUUCAAAAAUCUGAAACUAGAGCUCAAAAUUUGAAAAAAAAAUGGUAAAAAACAGGAGGGUCGGCCUAUUCCGGGGCUUCUAGAGAAAAAUAAUGAAGGGUGUCACGGGGUAUGACUAUAUAGGUCUUGUAGAAAAGAAACAGGCGCUUCUUUUUGCGCAAGGUAUCAAAGGGCGCUAUGUUCAAAAAUCUGAAACUAGAGCUCAAAAUUUGAAAAAAAAAUGGUAAAAAACAGGGGGUCGGCCUAUUCCGGGGCUUCUAGAGAAAAUAAAUAGGGGUGUCACGGGGUAUGACUAUAUAGGUCUUGUAGAAGAGAAACAGGCGCUUCUUUUGCGCAAGGUAUCGAAAGGGCGCUAUGUUCAAAAAUCUGAAACUAGAGCCAAAAUUUGAAAAAAAAUGGUAAAAAAUAGGGGGUCGGCCUAUUCCGGGGGCUUCUAGAGAAAAAUAAUGAGGGGUGUCACGGGGUAUGACUAUAUAGGUCUUGUAGAGAGAAACAGGCGCUUCUUUUGCGCAAGGUAUCGAAAGGGCGCUAUGUUCAAAAAUCUGAAACUAGAGCCCAAAAUUUGAAAAAAAAUGGUAAAAAAUAGGGGGGUCGCCCUAUUCCAGGGCUUCUAGAGAAAAAUAAUGAGGGUGUCACGGGGUAUGACUAUAUAGGUCUUGUAGAAGAGAAACAGGCGCUUCUUUUGCGCAAGGUAUCGAAGGGCGCUAUGUUCAAAAAUCUGAAACUAGAGCUCAAAAUUUGAAAAAAAUGGUAAAAAAACAGGGGGGUCGGCCUAUUCCAGGGGCUUCUAGAGAAAAAAUAAUGAGGGGUGUCACGGGGUAUGACUAUAUAGGUCUUGUAGAAGAGAAACAGGCGCUUCUUUUGCGCAAGGUAUCGAAGGGCGCUAUGUUCAAAAAUCUGAAACUAGAGCUCAAAAAUUUGAAAAAAAUGGUAAAAAAAGGGGGUCGGCCUAUUCCAGGGCUUCUAGAGAAAAAUAAUGAGGGGUGUCACGGGGUAUGACUAUAUAGGUCUUGUAGAAGAGAAACAGGCGCUUCUUUUGCGCAAGGUAUCGAAGGGCGCUAUGUUCAAAAAUCUGAAACUAGAGCUCAAAAUUUGAAAAAAAUGGUAAAAAACAGGGGGUCGGCCUAUUCCAGGGCUUCUAGAGAAAAAUAAUGAGGGGUGUCACGGGGUAUGACUAUAUAGGUCUUGUAGAAGAAGAAACAGGCGCUUCUUUUGCGCAAGGUAUCGAAGGGCGCUAUGUUCAAAAAUCUGAAACUAGAGCCCAAAAUUUGAAAAAAAAUGGUAAAAAAAUAGGGGGCAGCCCUAUUCCAGGGCUUCUAGAGAAAAAUAAUGAGGGGUGUCACGGGGUAUGACUAUAUAGGUCUUGUAGAAGGAGAAACAGGCGCUUCUUUUGCGCAAGGUAUCAAAGGGCGCUAUGUUCAAAAAUCUGAAACUAGAGCUCAAAAUUUGAAAAAAAUGGUAAAAAACAGGGGGGUCGGCCUAUUCCAGGGCUUCUAGAGAAAAAUAAUGAGGGGUGUCACGGGGUAUGAUGACUAUAUAGGUCUUGUAGAAAAGAAACAGGCGCUUCUUUUGCGCAAGGUAUCAAAGGGCGCUAUGUUCAAAAAUCUGAAACUAGAGCUCAAAAUUUGAAAAAAAAAAUGGUAAAAAACAGGGGGUCGGCCUAUUCCAGGGCUUCUAGAGAAAAAUAAUGAGGGGUGUCACGGGGUAUGACUAUAUAGGUCUUGUAGAAGAGAAACAGGCGCUUCUUUU